AAAAAGCGCCCAAACAUAUAGUUCUACUUGUGAUUUGGAUGCGUGUAAAAUUAUUCUUAUAGACUUAUUGGUAGCUGUUCUCAGGAUUUUCACUAGAAUCAGCCCAAAGUACUGUCGAGAGUGUCAGUGUUUUUGUAUAUAAGAUCAACCAAAGAGACUACAGAAUGCACUGGUUGACCUUAUGCAUACUUCAGGCGAUCUUUCUUGUUUAUUUAUUGAUUGGAGGGGCGAUCUUUAUGGCCCUCGAGAAAGAUAAUGAAGACGAAAUAUCUUCCAACCAGUCAGCUAGAUUUUCACAAUUUCUUACUGACAAUACGUGUGUAACAGCCAGUGAAUUAACAGCGUUUUAAUGCGGUUAUUGAAG
Long non-coding RNA from Mercenaria mercenaria, 364 nucleotides. RefSeq lists it as uncharacterized. The record is from RefSeq and is a predicted model, not a curated record. The transcript has 3 exons. Lineage: Eukaryota; Metazoa; Mollusca; Bivalvia; Venerida; Veneridae.